RNAcentral lists this long non-coding RNA (1370 nucleotides) under Mustela putorius furo (domestic ferret). Its description in RNAcentral is "lncRNA (ENSMPUG00000029542.1)". Lineage: Eukaryota; Metazoa; Chordata; Mammalia; Carnivora; Mustelidae. The record is from RNAcentral.
GGCGACCCGUGGCCCGACGGCGCCUCAGGCCGCGGCUUACGGCAACCCCGCGCUGAGAGCCCCUCCUCGGCCCGUCUCCGCCCGGCCCCGGGAGCUCUGCCGGACUCCGACCCGCCGUCCUCCGGCGACCCCGAGCGACCCGCGACCCCACGGUCCCCGCGAGGCCCGCACCCCGCGGCGCCCCUGGAGCGACGACCCGCCGCGGGCAGACCUCCGGCCGCCGGGAUCCCGGCCGCUGCUCUCCCUGCCGUUUCUUAGAAGUCGGAAAACACCACUUCACACGUCCCUGGGGCAGAUGACAGCGUUAAGUGUCUCUAGGAAGAGAAUCCGAAGCUGCAUCUGUGGCUCACGUGACAUUUCUAUGGGACGGCGCAGGUUCAGGGACUCUCGCCAGGUGCUGGAUCGAUUUGCUGUCGAGGGACGGUGUUUGAUCUGGAGACGCGUCACAUUCCUUACCUGCGCGGUACGAGCUGUCUCCUUCCCCUUCACGCCUUUCCAGGAGGGUCUGGCUGGCUGCCAGCGAGGACUGUGCGGCGCGCCGUGCGAUGGCCCCUUCAGGGUCCGGGUCCCCCCGCUCGCGUGUUGUCUGCCGCUGACUCUCAGCCGAGUCUUUGUCAGGAGUCGCUUGCCGCUGAGGGGAGGUGGUUCGAGCCCUUUCAGGCAGGUCUGUGAAAUCCAGGUGCUUUGUCCCCGAUCAAGCACAGACGGGGCCGGAGAGCUCAAGCGAGUGGCUCCGACCUCCUGUCACUAUCACUGCUGGCACCGCUCCCCCAGCUGCGUAGGCCUGGGCUGCCACUGAGCCUCACCUGGGACAGCCUGGGGUGGAGAAGAGAGGGCGGGUGUGGGUCACAGAUGGCCAGACUCUGUGUGUAGCGCUCCGACCUGCGGCCCGCGCCGGGGGCCCGUGAAGACAGAGGUGAGGGGUGAAGCUCUCAGUAGGCCUCGCGGGGUGGUCUUGGCCGUCCGCUCCGUGUGGAAUGAGUAUGCGCUCAAGUAAGAAUAUCCACAGACUCACGAGAAACAGCAAACCGCGUGGCUGCUGGCUAGGGACCCGCCGAGGAAGAGACGGAAGGAUUUAGGGUCUGGGGCCGGGGCAGAGGCAUGUGGACGGACUUGUGGGAGGGAGCAUAAGGGGUCGGGGCCACUGCAUUUCGUGUUCACACCACCAGGAGCAGCCGCAGCAGGAGAGGCCCUUGAACAACUAAGCCGGCACAGUGACUCCGCCCGAGACCCCGCGGGCCCCUGUUCCUCAGCCGCCUCCGUGUCUGAGCAGUGGCUGUGAGUGGAGCGGUGGCCCUGCGGUGGCCGGGACCAGGGCAGUCCGGACGGUGUGGACGGCAGACACCAGACCGGCAUCCGCUGGAGGAGGC